RNAcentral lists this long non-coding RNA (515 nucleotides) under Nicotiana tabacum (common tobacco). Its description in RNAcentral is "long non-coding RNA (NTAB_LNC008760)". Lineage: Eukaryota; Viridiplantae; Streptophyta; Magnoliopsida; Solanales; Solanaceae. The record is from RNAcentral.
GUAAGAAUACUCAGUUUAGGAUUGGAACCCUAAAGCUGGCCGAAUGGAAAUAGUUCAGAUCAGGGUUGGAGCCCUAAUGCUGACUAGCUGGGGAGAAGCUCAAUUUAGAGUUGAAACUCUAAUGUUGACCAACUGGGGAAAAGUUCAGUUUAGGGUUGGGGCCUUAAUGCUGACUAAAGGGAAGAGUUCAGUUUAGGGUUUAAAACCCUAAUGCUGACUAAAUGGAAAAGGUUUAGUUUAGGGUUUGAAACCCUAAUGCUGACUAAAGGGAAAAGUUCAGUUUAGGGUUUAAAACCCUAAUGCUGACUAAAGGAAAAAGUUCAGUUUAGGGUUUAAAACCCUAAUGCUGAUUAAAGGGAAAAGUUCAGUUUAGGGUUUAAAACCCUAAUCCUGAUUAAAGGGAAAAAUUCAGUUUAGGGUUUAAAACCCUAAUCCUGAUUAAAGGGAAAAGUUCAGUUUAGGGUUUAAAACCCUAAUGCUGACUGAAGGAAAGAGUUGUCGGGUUAUGCCGGGGG